CUUUACACACGAUCACUUCAACAACAUCUACCAGUCCCACUACUACAGAUUAUUUACUGACAGUCAUUUCCACAACAUCUAGUAGUCCCACUACUACAGUUCCUUUACAC
Long non-coding RNA from Cyprinus carpio (common carp), 110 nucleotides. RefSeq lists it as uncharacterized. The transcript is spliced from 3 exons. The record is from RefSeq and is a predicted model, not a curated record. Lineage: Eukaryota; Metazoa; Chordata; Actinopteri; Cypriniformes; Cyprinidae.